CAGGCGUCGGCGGCGUACUGGCAUACUGCACCAACUCUACGGUGCCGUGCGGUCCGUUCCUGUUCAUAUACAAACUCUGAUGAGUAGUACAAUCUACCGGCGUUGCCAUGAUCCAAGGAAUUUAAGUCUACCAGGGGCGUCAAUUGUUUGGGGCCUAUUUAGGACACAAUAAUUCUGUAGUAAGAUUUUCGCAGGAAUUUCACAAGCAUAUGUUCAGUUUUACAUGAAUUAGGAUUUACGGGUUUAGUGAUAGUCUGGAGUUAAGAUGCAAUCGUGUCUGCUCCUUGCUGCAUGAUCAGCAAGGCAUCACCAUUCUGAUUGUCCCCGUGCCUGCUCUUUUCUGCAUGAUUAGUUGGCUGCUCUGUUUUCGGAUUUAUUGGAUGCUGCAGUCUUUUGGUUGAUGCAUAUGUGUUCUUUCUGCGCUUUAGUUUUCAACACCCUGCUGUAGGAUGCAGUUUGCCAUGCCCAGCAUAUAUUUAUCGAAAUGACAAGCCUCCAAAACUUUGUGCAACGUGCGUUGCAAAUGAAGGCGUAUGGUAAUGUUGGUUGUCUGGUGCACUAAGUAUGUGUGGGUACUAAUCACCCUCUGCUUUGUUUCACAAUGCUAGAAUUGCAGACCAUGUGCCUUGGCAGAUCACCGGCCGGUGCCUUUCCUGGCUCUUCUCAGUCAUGCAGCUAUUUGCAUUGACCUUUUUGUCCUGACGCUUCCAGGACGACUUUGUUGUCUUUACAAUUAAAUUGUUCUCAGGACCAAUUUCUUAUGGCUCAUGGUAUCGUUAAUUCGUUAUGGACCAUGACGCAGCAUCACUGAUUUGGUAACUCUGAAUUCUGUAUUGCAGGGAAGUUAGUUACAGAAUAACUUUCUUGCAAUUUUUUUUUGUUGUUCAUGUAAAAUGAUGAUCUCCGAACUAAUUUCUUA
Molecule: long non-coding RNA, 919 nt
Filed under: Setaria italica (foxtail millet)
Lineage: Eukaryota; Viridiplantae; Streptophyta; Magnoliopsida; Poales; Poaceae
Description: long non-coding RNA (SITA_LNC001899)
Source: RNAcentral